GUUUAGUUGUGAAACAACGACAUAAUACCUCUACAUAUUUUAUGCCAUGAAAAGAUGUAUUCGAACAGGAGGAAGAAGAAAUUGUGUGUUUUGUUGUUAUUGUACUAUACAUAUAGUAGAAACAAUCACAGCGAAAGCGAAUUAGUAAAUUGCAUUUACGGGGGGCGUCUGAAAAGUUCCAAGCCUUAGGUAUUUCGAGGUUAGGUAUUCGCUAAGUGCACGACUGUCACGCAACCUAGUGGCCGCAAGUCUAGGGGAAAACGUCAAUUCACUACAUCUUAUAAAACUACUCCGAAACUAAAAACUACUGAACGGAUUUUCAUACGACUUUCAUCUAUCAAUAGAGUGAUUCUUGAGGAAGGCUUAAGUAUAUAACUUGUUAAGGUUUUGUGUAAAUUGUUUGAAAUAUAACGACGUUGUCGGAAAAAAUCGACACGACGACACGCUGGCUAGGAGCUUUAAUCGAAAACGCUGCCUAAUCCGUUUGAGCUAUAACAACACAAUGUAUGGUGGGGUUGUUUCUCAUUCAUAGGUCUACAAAAAAGUCCGCGAUGUUAAAUGCCUAUCUUUUAAGGAUAACUUACUAUACAUAUUCGUAACUUCUAGAAAAAGAUCACAUAAUAUGUGGCAUUUGCAAAGCUAUUUACAUGGAUACAUUAUUAACAAUUAUCAAAAUAAAUAAGUACGUUAGUUAUAUUAAGCAUUUCAUAUAGAUUACAAUGGUCCCUUACACCAUACAAUUUAAAUUAAUAUUUCAGGAGAAAUCGUAAACCAAAGUUUCAUUUCGAGCCAUAUAAUUGUACUAAAUGUUAAAGACGCUAUCCGCAGUUAGUUCUAAUUUUUACCACCUUAUGCGCUGGGAUCGCUUUACUUACCCCCACCAUGCACUUCGCACGGUCCCACAAUAUACGUUUAUGAUACUGGCCACUAGAAAGGCCAUUUAAAAACAAAUUAUAAAAAAAAACAUGUUACAUUUUUAUUAUUCUGUUUCGAGAUAUUCAACGGAAAAGUACAUCAUGUAAUGUGUCAUGUAUUAUGUCUAGAUCUAGAGCAGAGCCCAACUGAGGAAGUACCUCCACCUUAAAGAAAACCGCAGCCAAAUAACACUAGACCCUACUCAUAGUGUUGUGUUCCUGCCGGUGAGUAAGGUUGCCAGAGCUCAAUGAAGGGAGGGAGGGGUGUUAGGGUCGGCAACGCGCAUGUAUCUUCUCUGGAGUUGCAGGCAUACAUAGGCAACGGACACUGCUGACCAUCAGGCGGGCCGUAUGCUUGUUUGCCACCAACGUAGUAUAAAAAUCAUGUGUGAAUUACCAACGAAUAUUACAAAAAUUGAGCACCGUGCUGUAAUUAAGUUCCUAACAAAAAGUGAAAAAUCACCGCAGUGUAUUUUUGAGGAAAUGACAUUAUUUACGGUGCUUCUGGGCCUUCUUAUGCCACGGUCAAAAAGUGGAGUCGCUUAUUUAAACUCGGACGGGACUCGAUCGAAGACGACCCCGCUCAGGGCGGUCAAUAUCGAUAGUGACCGGAGAAAACGUAGCAAAAGUCAAAAAGCUGGUAUUAGAAGAUAGAAUACAGGAACAUUUGUACAUGAGUAAAUUCUGUGCUCGUUGGGUACCGAAAAUGCUGACGGCCUUCGAUAUAGAACGUAGAGUUGAAACUUCAAGGGCGUUUUUAGAAUUGUGCGAAGAUGAUUUAGAUGGAAGUUUGUUCCCGAAUAGUAACUGAUGAUGAAACAUGGAUCAGACAGGAUGAUCCGAAGUGUAAGUCUGAAUCGAUGCAGUGGAUUGAAAAGGGUGAAAGGCCGCCGAAGAAAUUUAAAGUGCAAAAGUCGGCCUCUAAGUUAAUGGCUACGGCGUUUUGGGACUGUGAUGGCAUGCUUUUAAUCGAUUAUUUAGAAAAAGGCUCUACGAUAAACGGAACUUAUUAUGCAAAUCUAAUAAGACAGGUGCGAGAAGCCAUAGUUGAGAAAAGGCGGGGUAAACUAAGCAAAGGCAUUUUGUUUUUCCAAGACACAGACAGUGAACGGGUGCGUGUUCACACCGCUAAUGUUGCGAGGCAUGCUCUGAGGGUUUUGACGAAAUUGACCACCCAACCUACAGCCUAGAUCUAGCCCCAAGCGAUUAUUUUCUAUUCAAUAAUUUAAAGAAAGCAUUGAGGGGAAAGCGAUUUAGAAGUGACGAAGAGGUGAUGGCGGCUGUACAGGAGCAUUUUGAAAGGCAAGAUAAUAAAUAUUGUUUAAUGGCCUAAAAGCAUUGUAUAAAACAUGCAUCGAGUUAUAAGGAAAUUAUAUUGAAAAAUAAACUUUUCAGGCGCCCCUCGUAUACGAUAUUGGUCGCAAGCAAAUAGUACAAAGUGUACAAACAUAGGAUUGUUUAUUAUACAAACCCAUGAAAACAAAUGCAACAGCCAAUUAGUAGUAACUUUGUCAUGUUAUUUAAAUCUACGUGACGUGAGACGCAGCGAAAGCACUGUCUCUAAUCACUAAAUUGAUUUUGUUCGUGUGACUCCGCACCUAUCAAGACGGAAUCGGCAAUUCGAAAACGAAAUCGAUUCGAUAAUCGGCACUGCUGUGUCGUAACUUAAGCAAUUUCAUUUCGCUCAGCAUGCGCCGACACUGGUAGAAAGUGACGUCUUUUUAAACUAUGCGAGGCUGGCAUGCUGAUUCAGUGGUGUUACUUCAAUCACUUAGCAACCGCAGGUAAGUCGAACGCUCAGGAAAACCAGGAUUGGCUUUGUUUGUGUGACAUGCUAAAAGCGACGACAACGACGGCAGAAAAAUGUGUACUUGUGAAACUACAUUUUCAUUCUAUUAACGUAUGCGAAAUGAAAUCUGGACAAAAUUAAAUAAAAACAACAUGGUUAUUU
Molecule: long non-coding RNA, 2865 nt
Organism: Cydia pomonella (codling moth)
Lineage: Eukaryota; Metazoa; Arthropoda; Insecta; Lepidoptera; Tortricidae
Exons: 2
Source: RefSeq, a predicted model, not a curated record